CUUUCCCUCUUUCUUCGGGCCUAACACAUGCAAGUCGAGCGGAUGAAGGGAGCUUGCUCCUGGAUUCAGCGGCGGACGGGUGAGUAAUGCCUAGGAAUCUACCUGGUAGUUGUGGAUAACGUCCGUAAACGGGCGCUAAUACCGCAUACGUCCUGAGGGAGAAAGUGGGGGAUCUUAGGAGCUCGCGCUAUCAGAUGAGCCUAAGUCGGAUUAGCUAGUUGGUGGGGUAAGGGCCUACCAAGGCGACGAUCCGAAACUGGUCUGAGAGGAUGAUCAGUCACACUGGAACUGAGACACGGUCCAGACCCCUACGGGAGGCAGCAGUGGGGAAUAUUGGACAAUGGGCGAAAGCCUGAUCCAGCCAUGCCGCGUGUGUGAAGAAGGUCUUCGGAUUGUAAAGCACUUUAAGUUGGGAGGAAGGGCAGUAAGUUAAUACCUUGCUGUUUUGACGUUACCAAAAGAAUAAGCACCGGCUAACUUCGUG
This 484-nucleotide ribosomal RNA is filed under the name uncultured bacterium. RNAcentral's name for it is "partial 16S ribosomal RNA". It matches the Rfam family "Bacterial small subunit ribosomal RNA", at positions 36 to 507 of the family's 1533-position model. The record is from RNAcentral.